GAUGAAGAACGUAGCGAAAUGCGAUAAGUAAUGUGAAUUGCAGAAUUCAGUGAAUCAUCGAAUCUUUGAACGCACCUUGCGCCCUUUGGCUAUUCCGAAGGGCAUGCCUGUUUGAGUAUCGUGAACACCUCAACUCUCAUGGUUUGCCAUGAUGAGCUUGGACUUUGGGGGUUUUGCUGGCCUUUGGUCGGCUCCUCUCAAACGGAUCAGCUUUCCAGUGUUUGGUGGCGUCACGGGUGUGAUAACUAUCUACGCCUGUGGUUUUUCCACCAGGUAGCCUUCAGCAGUGGAGGUUCGCUGGAGCUCAUAGAUGUCUCUCCUCAGUGAGGACAGCCCUUUGAAUGUUUGAUCUCAAAUCAGGUAGGACUACCCGCUGAACUUAAGCAUAUCAAUAAGCGGAGGA
This 403-nucleotide unclassified non-coding RNA is filed under the name soil metagenome. RNAcentral's name for it is "partial contains 5.8S ribosomal RNA, internal transcribed spacer 2, and large subunit ribosomal RNA". The stretch from base 1 to 121 matches the Rfam family "5.8S ribosomal RNA", at positions 35 to 154 of the family's 154-position model. The record is from RNAcentral.